RNAcentral lists this transfer RNA (67 nucleotides) under Ictidomys tridecemlineatus (thirteen-lined ground squirrel). RNAcentral's name for it is "Spermophilus tridecemlineatus (thirteen-lined ground squirrel) tRNA". It matches the Rfam family "tRNA". From Rfam's summary of the family: Transfer RNA (tRNA) molecules are approximately 80 nucleotides in length. The record is from Rfam by way of RNAcentral. RNAcentral also lists the same sequence under 1 other name. Lineage: Eukaryota; Metazoa; Chordata; Mammalia; Rodentia; Sciuridae.
GGUAGUGGCUCAGUGGUAGAGCGCUUGCCUAGCAUGUAUGAGGCACUGGGUUCGAUCCUCAGCACCA